This 234-nucleotide ribosomal RNA is filed under the name uncultured Candidatus Saccharibacteria bacterium. Its description in RNAcentral is "partial 16S ribosomal RNA". It matches the Rfam family "Bacterial small subunit ribosomal RNA", at positions 584 to 818 of the family's 1533-position model. Lineage: Bacteria; Candidatus Saccharimonadota. The record is from RNAcentral.
UAAGUAAGGUGUGAAAUCACAGGGCUCAGCCCUGUGGCUGUGCCUUAAACUGGCAAACUUGAGAACAUGAGAGGUCACUGGAAUUCCUAGUGUAGGAGUGAAAUCCGUAGAUAUUAGGAGGAACACCAAUGGCGAAGGCAGGUGACUGGCAUGUUUCUGACACUGAGGCUCGAAAGCGUGGGAGCGAACGGGAUUAGAUACCCCGGUAGUCCACGCCGUAAACGAUGGAUACUA